RNAcentral lists this ribosomal RNA (467 nucleotides) under uncultured bacterium. RNAcentral describes it as "partial 16S ribosomal RNA". It matches the Rfam family "Bacterial small subunit ribosomal RNA", at positions 28 to 506 of the family's 1533-position model. The record is from RNAcentral.
GACGAACGCUGGCGGCGUGCUUAACACAUGCAAGUCGAACGGAAAGGCCCUGCUUUUGUGGGGUGCUCGAUUGGCGAACGGGUGAGUAACACGUGAGUAACCUGCCUUUGACUUUGGGAUAACUUCAUGAAACUGGGGCUAAUACCGGAUAGGAGCUCCUGCUGCAUGGUGGUGGUUGGAAAGUUUCGGCGGUUGGUGAUGGACUCGCGGCUUAUCAGCUUGUUGGUUGGGUAGUGUCUUACCAAGGCUUUGAAGGGUAAGCGUGCUGAGGGUGUGACCGGUCGCAUUGGGACGGAGAUAGGUCCGAGACACUUACGGGAGGCAGCAGUGGGGAAUAUAGCACAGUGAGCGGAAGCUUGAUGCAUCAACGACGCGUGAGUGAGUAGGGACUUCGGGUUGGAACACGGUUUCGCGUGUGACGAAGCGUGAGAGUCGGAAAGGGAGAAAGAAGCACAGGUGAACUACUA